CGUUGAAACACCAGUUCUCGUACGAUCACCGAAGUUAAGCAACUUCCAGCCUGGUUAGUAUCUAGAUGAGUGACCGCUUGGGAAUCCGAGGUAUCGUAAU
Molecule: non-coding RNA, 100 nt
Organism: Acanthosepion pharaonis
Lineage: Eukaryota; Metazoa; Mollusca; Cephalopoda; Sepiida; Sepiidae
Source: the annotation of a GenBank genome assembly